This 17-nucleotide small RNA is filed under the name Arabidopsis thaliana (thale cress). RNAcentral describes it as "ATSL182700". Lineage: Eukaryota; Viridiplantae; Streptophyta; Magnoliopsida; Brassicales; Brassicaceae. The record is from RNAcentral.
UUUUUUUUUAGUUUUUA